AUACGGAGGGGGCUAGCGUUGUUCGGAAUUACUGGGCGUAAAGCGUACGUAGGCGGACUGAUCAGUUGGGGGUGAAAUCCCAGGGCUUAACCCUGGAACUGCCUUCAAUACUGCCAGUCUUGAGUUUGGGAGAGGUGAGUGGAAUUCCUAGUGUAGAGGUGAAAUUCAUAGAUAUUAGGAGGAACACCAGUGGCGAAGGCGGCUCACUGGCCCAUUACUGACGCUGAGGUACGAAAGCGUGGGGAGCAAACAGGAUUAGAUACCCUAGUAGUCC
This 274-nucleotide ribosomal RNA is filed under the name uncultured bacterium. RNAcentral's name for it is "partial 16S ribosomal RNA". It matches the Rfam family "Bacterial small subunit ribosomal RNA", at positions 523 to 796 of the family's 1533-position model. The record is from RNAcentral.